This is a long non-coding RNA of Balaenoptera ricei (Rice's whale), 1291 nucleotides long. RefSeq lists it as uncharacterized. The transcript has 6 exons. NCBI's taxonomy places the organism in Eukaryota, Metazoa, Chordata, Mammalia, Artiodactyla, Balaenopteridae. The record is from RefSeq and is a predicted model, not a curated record.
UUGUACUUAUUCCUGUUAACAUUUCAUGUGCCUCAAAGAGUAAUUACAGAUAACGAGAAAAUCUAGGUACCAAGGAUUGUGCCUAUUACUGAGUGACGAAUGGAGGGUGCUUGAAAGGUGUCAUGGGGAUUAAUCACCCAGGACUGGCACUGCCUGCUCGUACACAGCUCAAGGAGGCAUGGUGUGAGCAUGGUAGACGCCAUCGCGAGAGGUAGAAAGACCACUUCUGACCACAAGAACAGGUGAACGUGGAGGCCCUGGGAUGGGCAGCAGCUGACUCCUUGGAAGAACUGCAAACAUACCAGAAUGAUUGAAGGAAGGGGAACAAGGCAGUGGUGGCUGGAGCCGUGAGCUGGAGCUGGAGCCGGCCUCCUAACGCAUUCCCCUGACACUCCUCUCCUAAGCAUGUCUGUCUGCUGGCUUCUGAGAGCAAAAGUCCCUUUUAAAAAAAUUUCUGAAGCUGACUUGAAGCAGGAAGAAUGUCUUCUGAUUUGGCCAAAAAUAUGCUCAAGAACGGUACAGUGCUGCACCUUUUUACAGAGUUGACAGAUAAAGAGGGAAUGGGGUCUUCCAGCAGCAGUCCUUUGAGAUGAAGGUGUACUCAGCCUCAAAGAAGAAGUGGCAGAAGAGCACAAGAUAGCUGAGGUACAUGAGUGAGGACCAGAAGAUGUUCUGAAAGUGAGAGUGACACUGGUCAUGCUGCAUCCAGUGGAAGACCAGGUAGUUAACGACACAGCCCAUCAGCAUCUGAGUGAUCUGGGACAAGGUGAUGAACAUGGCAAACUUCCGGGAGACUCGGAAACCCGCUGCUCGCAAGGCAUAGUAAGAGUACAUCACGGAGUGCACGCCAUAGUUCAUAGUCAUGAACCAACCACCCCCGGCAACCAUGUCCUUGUAGGAGUACCAGGAGUACAGGAGCACAGUGAUGUGGUGGUACCAGUGCAGGAAGAUCAGCUUCUGCUUCCUCAGAAUGAUGAAUAUUGUAUCUCCUGAAAGACAAAGAAAAAAAUGGACAUGAGCCCCUUGACCAUAAAAUAAUCAUAAUCUAUAUCUCUGCAAGAAGGUAGAUGUCUUGAACUGGUACUUCAGAAUGAGAUGGACUGGGUUAGAAUCCUGACUGAUAUUUACUAGCUCAGUGACCCUGGGCAAGUUAUUUAUCCUCACUAUAUUCCCAUUUCGUCAUCUGUAAAAUGGGGAUGAUAAUAGCUUGAAAUUAUCUGAGGGUUAAAUAGGAUACUCAACAUGCCCUCUUGGCACAUGGUAAGCACUCAAUAAAUGUUACUUUCAGAAA